Molecule: unclassified non-coding RNA, 283 nt
Filed under: plant metagenome
Description: partial contains small subunit ribosomal RNA, internal transcribed spacer 1, and 5.8S ribosomal RNA
Rfam family: 5.8S ribosomal RNA (bases 235-283)
Source: RNAcentral
UUUCCGUAGGUGAACCUGCGGAAGGAUCAUUAUUGUAUAACCGAGGUGCGAGGGCUGUCGCUGACCCGAAAGGUCGUGCACGCCCGAGUGCCCUCACACACAUCCAUCUCACCCCUAUGUGCACCACCGCGUGGGUCCCCCUUUGGCUUGUUCGGAGGGGGGCUUACGUUUUCACACAAACUUUGUAUGCAGUGUAGAAUGUAUUUUUUGUUUUUGCGAUCACGCAAUCAAUACAACUUUCAACAACGGAUCUCUUGGCUCUCGCAUCGAUGAAGAAGGCAGC